Molecule: unclassified non-coding RNA, 433 nt
Filed under: soil metagenome
Description: partial contains 5.8S ribosomal RNA, internal transcribed spacer 2, and large subunit ribosomal RNA
Rfam family: 5.8S ribosomal RNA (bases 1-120)
Source: RNAcentral
GAUGAAGAACGUAGCGAAAUGCGAUACGUAAUGUGAAUUGCAGAAUUCAGUGAAUCAUCGAAUCUUCGAACGCAUAUUGCGCUCUCUGGUAUUCCGGAGAGCAUGCUUGUUUGAGUAUCAGUAAACACCUCAACUUCCAUAUCUUUUUUUGAAAUGGGAGUUGGACUUGAGUGAUCCCAACGCUUUUCCUCACCGAAAAGUGGCGGGUUACUUGAAAUGCAGGUGCAGCUGGACUUUUCUCUGAGCUAUAAGCAUAUCUAUUUAGUCUGCCUAAAAAACAGAUUAUUACCUUUGCUGCAGCUAACAUAAAGGAGAUUAGUUCUUGUGCUGACUGAUGCAGGAUUCACAAAGACAGCUUCGGCCGACUUUGUAAACUCGAUCUCAAAUCAAGUAAGAUUACCCGCUGAACUUAAGCAUAUCAAUAAGCGGAGGA